AGUAACGCGUGAGUAACCUGCCUUACACAAGGGGGUAGCCUCUGGAAACGGAGAAUAAUACCCUAUGAAACUAUCUUAUCGCAUGAAAAGAUAGUCAAAGUGUUUUAGCGGUGUAAGAUGGACUUGCGUCUGAUUAGCUAGUUGGUGAGAUAACAGCCCACCAAGGCAACGAUCAGUAGCCGGCUUGAGAGAGUGUACGGCCACAUUGGGACUGAGACACGGCCCAG
This 227-nucleotide ribosomal RNA is filed under the name uncultured Eubacteriales bacterium. RNAcentral describes it as "uncultured Clostridiales bacterium partial 16S ribosomal RNA". It matches the Rfam family "Bacterial small subunit ribosomal RNA", at positions 109 to 334 of the family's 1533-position model. The record is from RNAcentral. Lineage: Bacteria; Bacillati; Bacillota; Clostridia; Eubacteriales.